GGAGUUGUGGCUCAGUGGUAGAGCGCUUGCCUAGCAUGCAUGAGGCCCUGGGUUCAAUCCCCAGCACCA
Molecule: transfer RNA, 69 nt
Filed under: Urocitellus parryii (Arctic ground squirrel)
Lineage: Eukaryota; Metazoa; Chordata; Mammalia; Rodentia; Sciuridae
Also listed under: 1 other name
Description: Spermophilus parryii (Arctic ground squirrel) tRNA
Rfam family: tRNA
About the family: Transfer RNA (tRNA) molecules are approximately 80 nucleotides in length.
Source: Rfam by way of RNAcentral